GCAGGCUGGACAGGGAGUUCCCCAUGGGGGCUCCAGGGCCUUUGAAGCAAACACUGAGAACCCAAGCCGGAAAUGAGAUCCACCCAGAGCCAUCUCCCUGCUUUGGUCUGAGGUGGGGUCCUCCCACCCUCAGGAACACAGAGAGCCCGGCCCCUCCCCCACUUCAAAACUGGCUCCCUCUCACAAGCCACCCCUGAAAGCUGAUCUCCACCAUCCAGAGAACCCCUGGACUCCUAUCUCUACCCAAGGCCACCCAGGGCUCUGUGCCCACGGCCUGCCGCUGACCCAGCGUCCACUCCUCCCACACUCCACUCCUGCGGGAGGCCUGGCUGUCCCGCCUCUGGGCAAGGAUUCAAGAUGGGAGAGGCUGACCCAGAACAGAAGCCACCCCCUGUUACCUGACUUCAUGCGAUCUGGGGGCCCACAACACCUAAGCCCUGGGAAAGAUUCUGAAGACAUCAGGCUCCUUUAAAUUCCCCCAGCAUGACCUGGAGUUCCCUGCAAGGGGCCAAAGGUGCCAGGGCCUGUCCUCACUGAUAUUGAGACCUGCGAUUUGUCCCCAUGAAGACACAAGGCCGCUUGUGGAUGCCCUACAUCCACCGGGGUUGGUUGCAGCCUGACAGCCUGGAUUCUGGUAGCAGCUCGGAGAAGCCCCAGGUGCCCACGGAGGCCAGAGGCAUCAGAUCCCCUGGAGCUGGAGUGACCAGCAGUUGUGAAGCACCCAACAUGGGUUCUGGGACUCAAACCCAGGUCCAGUCUCUCCACCCAAGCCCCAAGCCACUCGUGUGUGUGUGUGUGUGUGUGUGUGUGUGUGUGUGUAUCUGUGUUUGUAACGGAUGUUCAUUUCUCUCUCUUUCUCUCUCUCUCUCUCUCUCUCUCUCUCACACACACACACACACACACAUCUAGGAGCGUGUCAGUUUGACUAGAUUGGCUGGUCAGCAAGUCCUAACAAUCCUCCCUCCUGUCUCAGCCUCACAGUGCUGGGAUUACAGGGUCCUGCCACUUUGGCCAGCUUUCCUCGUGAGUGCUGGGGAUCCCAACUCUAGUCCUCAUUGUUUUCAAGGCACUUCACUCACUGAGCCAUGUCUUCCACCCCUUAUUUAUUGACUUACCUACUUACGUACUUAUUUUAGUUUUUUUCAGCACAGGAUUUCUCUGUGUAGCCUUGGCUGACCUGGACUCACUUUGUAGACCAGGCUGGCCUUGAACUCACAGAGAUCAGGCUCCCUCUGCCUCCCUGAGUGCUGGGAUUACAGGCUUGCACAACCACACCCAGCCCUUAAUUAAAUAUAUAUAUAUAUAUAUGUACCCUCUGUUGGGGCUAGGGAGAGAAGUCAAUGGUUAAGAGCACUUGUUGCUCUUGCAGAAGACCUGGGUUCAACCCCCAGCACCCACAUGGUGGCUCACAACCAUCCCUAACUCCAAAAUCCUCCUCUGAUCCCCUCAGGCACUAGGUAUGCACAUACUGAAUGUACAUUCAUGCAGGCAAAAUACUUAUACACAUAAAAUGAAAUAAACCAAUAAA
Molecule: long non-coding RNA, 1528 nt
Organism: Meriones unguiculatus (Mongolian gerbil)
Lineage: Eukaryota; Metazoa; Chordata; Mammalia; Rodentia; Muridae
Exons: 3
Source: RefSeq, a predicted model, not a curated record